RNAcentral lists this ribosomal RNA (497 nucleotides) under uncultured bacterium. Its description in RNAcentral is "partial 16S ribosomal RNA". It matches the Rfam family "Bacterial small subunit ribosomal RNA", at positions 28 to 507 of the family's 1533-position model. The record is from RNAcentral.
GAUGAACGCUGGCGGCGUGCCUAAUACAUGCAAGUCGAACGAACGGACGAGAAGCUUGCUUCUCUGAUGUUAGCGGCGGACGGGUGAGUAACACGUGGAUAACCUACCUAUCUGACUGGGAUCACUUCGGGAAACCGGAGCUAAUACCGUAUAAUCUUUUGCUCCGCAUGGUUCGAAAGUAAAAGACGGUCUUUCUGUCACUUAUAGCUGGUUCCGCGCUGGAUUAGCUAGUUGGUAAGGAAACGGCUUUCCAAGGCAACGAUGCAUAGCCGACCGGCGAGGGGGAUCGGCCACACUGGAACUGAGACACGGUCCAGAGUCCUACGGGAGGCAGCAGUAGGGAAUCGGCCGCAAUGGGCGAAAGUCUGACGGAGCAACGCCGCGUGAGUGAUGAAGGUCUUCGGAUCGGAAAACUCUGUUAUGAGGGAAGAACAGAUGUGUAAGGAAAUGUGCACAUCUUGACGGUACUUAAUCAGAAAGCAACGGCUAACUACGUG